AUACUCCCCUGGCAGAGGAGACACUGUGAUCACGAAGGUGUUUUCCCAGGGCCAGCUUGUCCAGUGCACUGCUGAUAUGCUGACCCUGCAUAUCCAAAUGCAGGAAACUGGACCAUGUAAUUUUUGGUAGUGGGAGAGUGUGUCGAUGCUUUCCCCA
This is a small nuclear RNA of Otolemur garnettii (small-eared galago), 157 nucleotides long. Its record names the gene U1. It matches the Rfam family "U1 spliceosomal RNA". From Rfam's summary of the family: U1 is a small nuclear RNA (snRNA) component of the spliceosome (involved in pre-mRNA splicing). Its 5' end forms complementary base pairs with the 5' splice junction, thus defining the 5' donor site of an intron. Lineage: Eukaryota; Metazoa; Chordata; Mammalia; Primates; Galagidae. The record is from Ensembl.